CGCUGCCCGCUCACCCCUGCGGCAGAGUUUGAGGGUUUUUUUGUUUGUUUGUUUGUUUUUUGUCACAUAACGUAGGGUGGGGGGAGUCGUCUUCCCCUCCCACACCCGCCUACCGCUGAGCCGGGCUCUGAGGGGGAGCUUUUCCCGCCCUUAGAGCCGCCCUCACCUCACCCCGCUCCCCGCCAGGCCCCCGGGGGUCUUGCAGCAGCGGCUGCUCCCUCAAGGCGCUCAGACGAGAGCGGGAAUGGCUCCCUUUUCCUCCCCUCAUCCCUCCCUCCGGUGCUGUUGUUGAAGAGGCCGGUUUUGUGCUGGAAGAGCCCUCGGUGCGUGCCGGGGACCUGCCCGGUGCCUUUGUUCAGCCGGCGAGACGGGCUGUACCCGGCGCGCCGAUGGCGGCAAGUCACAUCGUGGCAGAGGGACCACAAUGCUCGGCCGCAGCUGGAGAAUGAAUCUUUCAGUGCAGCGUCUCCCGGGAUUUCUCCGUCUCCCCCAGCCAUCUGCGGGUCAAUGAGAGACAACCGGUAGCAUCUGGCAGACACAGUCGCGGGAGGAAAGAGGAAGGGACAAUCACAUGUACCAAUACAGCAAUGUGGAUGGUGCAGGAAGACUAAUUAAAGCAAUGUGGAAAAAGAAAAAUAUGCCAAAGUGGCAUGAACUAUACACUGAGACCCUCACACUUUCAUCUUGGACUCUGAAUUUUACUCAGCAGCAUCAACAUUUACUCUGCCCAUGACAUCACCUGUGACAAACUUCUAAAGGCUAUCUGGGACAUACAGUUGUUAGUAAGACAUUUUGGAGGCAAAAGGUUUGUGCAAGUAUAAUGUACACUGGCCUGAAGAAUCUUAAUUGUUGAUGAAGUAGAAGUAGCCCCAAGUAAGAGUUGAGGAUGAGGGUGUUAGUUAGGAAAAACCCAUAUCUUCUUUCAUUUGAAACUGAAAGAAAUCUGAUAUUUGCAUCUACAAGAGAAUGAGCUGGAAGCUCAAAGUGACAUACAGAAUAACUUUUCAAAUAACUAUCUGAACUGUAAUAGGAUAAUAAUGCACUCUGGUCUUUACAGGGCAAGAGUUAGUGAUUCAGUCUCUGUGUGAUGUAGGUGCUCACUACUCCACCGAGAUAUAAACGAAUAUGGUGUGGCUCCUGUAGGAGAGAUGAUCCUUCUGAAUUAAAAAGUUUGAAAUUAGAACACCUAGAAGCAGUCAAACUUCAAGAGAAAGUUUAAGGGAUCUGUUUUCUAUGAAUCUCUUUUAAUGACAGCAAAGCUUUAGGAAGGGGGCAGCUUGGCCCUGCACAGACUUCUUUUUUUUUUCUUUGAGUCAGUGGAAAUGCUGGUAAUAGUAGAGCAGCAAGAGCUAGCAUGUUGUAUGAUCAUACCAACACAUGUACCAGUAUGCAACUUCACAUAGCUUUUAAAGUCGCAGUGACGUUACGUUUGAUGGCUUCUUGCUGGGGAUGAGGGUGUAGGAGGGAUGUCUUCAGGCUGCCAAGUUGUACAGUUCUACUUAAAUGGCUUCAUGUCAAGGAAUAGUAAUGAACGAGUAAACUUACUGGCCCACCAAACUGUACAGAGCAGCAAAAGUAGCCCCUCCUUUUGCUGUGCUGAAAGUAACUAUGAGAAACUAGCUUUAUGGUUUUAUAAAAACAAUUUUACUUUCUUACACAAGAAUAUACAAAUUGUCUAUUGCUCCCCUAAAUAAUUAUCUUUCCUAAACAAGAUGUUAUAUUUGUUGCCUGCCAUUUUGUCUCAUUGUUAAUAAAUGGUUAGUUUACACAGAUGGAUGGGUUUACUGCCCUAGCUAGAAAAUUAAGUAAUAGUGAUGGCAAUGUUGUUACACUUAUGUGGUAAUGGAAGAGUAUUGCAAGUAACCUCAUACAGACAAAACUGACAAUAAGGAACAAUUUAACAUAAAAGCUUUGGUCUGCUAUCUGGGUGUGUCAUUUCCUUUGGGUUGAAAGUUUUCCCCAUCUUGUAU
Long non-coding RNA from Tyto alba (common barn owl), 1970 nucleotides. RefSeq lists it as uncharacterized. The record is from RefSeq and is a predicted model, not a curated record. Lineage: Eukaryota; Metazoa; Chordata; Aves; Strigiformes; Tytonidae. The transcript is spliced from 3 exons.